RNAcentral lists this ribosomal RNA (469 nucleotides) under Liposcelis rufa. Its description in RNAcentral is "partial 16S ribosomal RNA". Lineage: Eukaryota; Metazoa; Arthropoda; Insecta; Psocodea; Liposcelididae. The record is from RNAcentral.
GUCUUAAAGAAAGAUUUUUAAGUCUAACCUGCCCACUGAUUCUUUUUAAAAGGCCGCGGUACUCUGACCGUACUAAAGUAGCAUAAUCAUUUGGCUUUUUAUUGGAGUCUGGUAUGAAAGGUUUAACGUUUGAUUAGCUUUAAUUUUUUAAUUACAAUAAAUUAAAUUUUAAGUAAAAAUGCUUAAAUUUUAUAAGGGGACGAGAAGACCCUGUAGAUUUUUACUUUACUUUUCUAUGUUUAACUGGGACGACUUAAGAAUUAAACUUCUAUAAUUUAAUAUUAUAAAAAAAUAUAAAAGAAGGUUAAAAAUAACAAAUUAAUUUUAUAUGAAAAAUUACCUCAGGGAUAACAGAGUAAUAAUAAAUAAGGAAGAUCAUUUGAAUUUAUGAUUGCGACCUCGAUGUUGAAUUAGGAUAUUAUAAUUAAGCACCACUUUUUAUAAAUAGACUGUUCGUCUAUAUAAUCCU